GCAUGGUUGUCGUCAGCUCGUGCCGUGAGGUGUCGGGUUAAGUCCAUAACGAGCGCAACCCCUACCUUUAGUUGCCAUCAGGUUAAGCUGGGGACUCUAAAGGAACUGCCUACGCAAGUAGUGAGGAAGGCGGGAAUGACGUCAAAUCAGCACGGCCCUUACGUCCAGGGCUACACACGUGCUACAAUGGCCGAUACAGAGGGCAGCUACCUGGUGACAGGAUGCAAAUCUCCAAAGUCGGUCUCAGUUCGGAUCGGAGUCUGCAACCCGACUCCGUGAAGUUGGAUUCGCUAGUAAUCGCGCAUCAGCCAUGGCGCGGUGAAUACGUCCCCGGGCCUU
This 339-nucleotide ribosomal RNA is filed under the name uncultured Sphingobacteriales bacterium. RNAcentral's name for it is "bacterial SSU rRNA". It matches the Rfam family "Bacterial small subunit ribosomal RNA", at positions 1043 to 1382 of the family's 1533-position model. Lineage: Bacteria; Pseudomonadati; Bacteroidota; Sphingobacteriia; Sphingobacteriales. The record is from RNAcentral.